UUUUGUAGUAGUAUUGGAGGCACGUGGAGGGCAAGGUAAUCCGAAAAGAUGGAAUAAGGAGAAAAACUGACCUUUAGAUGUGAAAUUUGCGCACUGUCUGUCAUCUGCUAUACGUUUGGUCUUGUUCAAAGGGCAUGGUUUACAGCUGUUUGGUUUGUAUUCGUAGUUUAAAGGAUGUCUUCGGGGAUACUGGGAGUCAAACGACUAGUCAGGCUAUCCCGACCACCCGCCCCGUCAUCAACGAUGUGAUUAUUCAAGAUUAUUAUUCUACAACACCAGGAGGGACACUCUUCAGUAUGACCCCUGGAGCCACCUGAAUCAUCUACCACAGGAAGUUCCUCCCUGAGUGUCGAACCGCCCCUCUGGCGCGCACCACUCCCUGCCGCCCUGAUAUCCCAGGGGUAACCAGCCCCCUCUCAGACAACACAACCACUGACACAGCCCACCCUAAACAGACCCCCCAACAACCUCAUUCCACCACCAGACAAGAGUGCAGGGAAGGAUGCUCAAUUUGAAAUGGACAUUUAGCCAUUUGAUGGAUCUGCUGGAGUAUUGCAGCCUUGAGGAUAACAAGGAACGUGUGUUUUGCUGUGUGUUUUAAGCUGUCUCCUUCGUUUAAUGAACACAGCUUAUAAAAGGGAUGAAGAGAUUGCCUCCUAGUGCUGCAUUAUUUAUCUGCAGGCAUAAAUCUAAUCGCUCAGGAAAAGAAAACACGAACAUGCAAUAUUUCAUCACUCCUCCGUCCAUUGAUUUGAUGUUAUUUACUCAUUGUCCUGUCUGAAGGAUAAAGCCUUUGGAUUAUGUUUUAGUGUUCUCCAAUAGAAUUUUGUAUACCCCAAUGGCAUUCUCAGAAUUUGUUGCGGUUAAGUAUUGGUGCAGGCCAGGGGUGGUCAACUUUGAUGGGCUACAAAAAUGGGGACUCAUCAUGGGGGGGGACACAGUGGCUCACGGGUCUGCAUACCCACACAUUCAGUUAGAGCCGGCCCUAGCAGAAUCUGUUGUAUCCCUUCCAGCCUCCUCGCCCACAUUUUUUUUGUUUGUUUCAGUUCUAAAGCAAGUUGGCUGCAAUUCUACACAUUUUGCCAUGGGGCAGAGAGAAAAAUGAGCAGUUUUACAGCAAAUUUCCUACAAUUCUACACAUUUUGCCAUGGGGCAGAGAGAAACAUGAGCAGUUUUACAGCUAAUUUCCUACAAUUCUACACAUUUUGCCAUAGGGUGGAAACAAAUGUUUACAGUUUUUAAUAUGAUAUCUGAUGAUCAAUGGGGGCCCACUGGUCGGUAAUUCGACCAUGAUUACUACAAGUUUAGAUAGUUUUUGACCUUUGUGUAUUCUACCAUUCUAACUCUCAACAGUAAGUUGAGAACCUAAGUUAGUUCCUAAAAAUGUAUUCGUAGGCCUACAAAAGGGCCAGUUGCCCAUCCCUGGUGUAGGCUAAUAUGUUGAUGGAAAAACUAGGGCUGCAUUCUGCUUCAUAUUUUUCCAGAGGAACUGAAGCUGAAUAAUAACAUCAAAAAAAUAUCUUUGUCAUCCAUUUUUAUUUCAUCCUUGCGUGUUCUCUCUACUAUUACGUGUUGAGAGAAUAUACCAUAGAAGCGGACUGCAAUUAAUUGAGGAUUUAUUAAACAAACAUACUUCGGUCCUUUAAAAAAAAUACAUUACUCUUAUGAAAUAUUUACAUUUUAAAAUAAUACUGUAUCAACACUGGGUCAUACAGAGGAAUUAAAGCCCUUA
This is a long non-coding RNA of Oncorhynchus kisutch (coho salmon), 1732 nucleotides long. RefSeq lists it as uncharacterized. Lineage: Eukaryota; Metazoa; Chordata; Actinopteri; Salmoniformes; Salmonidae. The transcript is spliced from 3 exons. The record is from RefSeq and is a predicted model, not a curated record.